UGACUUAGCCUCAGUAUUCCGUCAUAGA
RNAcentral lists this small RNA (28 nucleotides) under Bombyx mori (domestic silkworm). RNAcentral describes it as "piRNA piR-bmo-1730542". The record is from RNAcentral. Lineage: Eukaryota; Metazoa; Arthropoda; Insecta; Lepidoptera; Bombycidae.